AAGGAGCAUCUGCGGACCGGGCUUGCCUGGUUCGGAGGCCACGCGGUCGGCGAACGAUCGACCGGUGGAGCUCAAUAUUGUGGAUGCUGGCUAAUGCAGAACCUCGGGUUGUCGGGAGAGUUAGUACUGCUCGUAAGAGCGUGGAAGGGUCUCCGGAGGGUUCAAGGCUUCUGUUCGGUACGCUGUUGGGUCCUGAGAGAACACGUGAGUGUCUUUCAGUGAUCGGGCUGAUCCAGCCCACGAACCAGUCGGUCAGUGUGACCGGGUAGGCGUGGACGGAGAAGGAUCAGCGUCGGUUUGUUCUUUGAGAACUGCACAGUGGAUGCGAGCAUCUUUGU
RNAcentral lists this unclassified non-coding RNA (338 nucleotides) under Actinosynnema pretiosum subsp. auranticum. Lineage: Bacteria; Bacillati; Actinomycetota; Actinomycetes; Pseudonocardiales; Pseudonocardiaceae. The record is from RNAcentral.